GCAAGUCGAACGCUGAAGCCUGGCUUUUGUUGGGUGGAUGAGUGGCGAACGGGUGAGUAACACGUGAGUAACCUGCCCCCUUCUUUGGGAUAACGCCCGGAAACGGGUGCUAAUACUGGAUAUUCACUGAUCUUCGCAUGGGGGUUGGUGGAAAGGUUUGUUCUGGUGGGGGAUGGGCUCGCGGCCUAUCAGCUUGUUGGUGGGGUGAUGGCCUACCAAGGCUUUGACGGGUAGCCGGCCUGAGAGGGCGACCGGUCACAUUGGGACUGAGAUACGGCCCAGACUCCUACGGGAGGCAGCAGUGGGGAAUAUUGCACAAUGGGCGAAAGCCUGAUGCAGCGACGCCGCGUGAGGGAUGGAGGCCUUCGGGUUGUAAACCUCUUUCGCUCAUGGUCAAGCCGCAACUGUGGGUUGUGGUGAGGGUAGUGGGUAAAGAAGCGCCGGCUAACUACGUGCCAGCAGCCGCGGUAAUACGUAGGGCGCGAGCGUUGUCCGGAAUUAUUGGGCGUAAAGGGCUUGUAGGCGGUUGGUCGCGUCUGCCGUGAAAUCCUCUGGCUUAACUGGGGGCGUGCGGUGGGUACGGGCUGACUUGAGUGCGGUAGGGGAGACUGGAACUCCUGGUGUAGCGGUGGAAUGCGCAGAUAUCAGGAAGAACACCGGUGGCGAAGGCGGGUCU
Molecule: ribosomal RNA, 676 nt
Filed under: uncultured Actinomycetes bacterium
Lineage: Bacteria; Bacillati; Actinomycetota; Actinomycetes
Description: bacterial SSU rRNA
Rfam family: Bacterial small subunit ribosomal RNA
Source: RNAcentral